UACGUAGGGUGCAAGCGUUGUCCGGAAUUAUUGGGCGUAAAGAGCUUGUAGGCGGUUUGUCGCGUCUGCUGUGAAAUUUCGGGGCUCAACCCCGAACUUGCAGUGGGUACGGGCAGACUAGAGUGUGGUAGGGGAGACUGGAAUUCCUGGUGUAGCGGUGAAAUGCGCAGAUAUCAGGAGGAACACCGAUGGCGAAGGCGGGUCUCUGGGCAACAACUGACGCUGAGGAGCGAAAGCGUGGGGAGCGAACAGG
This 253-nucleotide ribosomal RNA is filed under the name uncultured bacterium. Its description in RNAcentral is "partial 16S ribosomal RNA". It matches the Rfam family "Bacterial small subunit ribosomal RNA", at positions 524 to 776 of the family's 1533-position model. The record is from RNAcentral.